GGGAUGUGCUCAGAGCAGGGGGCCUGAAGAAUGGCUCCUCUGUGUGCAACACACCCAACAGGAAUCCAGGUUCAUUGGGACAAGGAGCACACAACUUGUGGCCUUCCUAUGAACAAAUGCCCUACACAU
Molecule: small nucleolar RNA, 129 nt
Organism: Loxodonta africana (African savanna elephant)
Lineage: Eukaryota; Metazoa; Chordata; Mammalia; Proboscidea; Elephantidae
Product: small nucleolar RNA SNORA11
Source: Ensembl